ACCGCUUCAAGAGUAAUCCCUUUUUCAUUUCGUGCCAAAAUGAAAAUUAACUUCUUUCACCGCCCAUUUUCCAUAUAAAGCAUAAACUUUUCCUUCGCUCUCUCAUGGAGUUCUUUCCAGAAACGCUUAUAAAUUUUCCACCAAGAAACCCUAAAUUUUCGAUCCCAACUCUCUGCAGAAGUCUACCGACGAAUCACCAUUGAGUCCUUCGAAGAAUCUCUAGGUCUUCUUCUCAAAAUCAGGUGCACCAGAAAGCAAAAUUGUUUUUGGAGAUUGUUUCUAUGGCUGAUGGGAGGGUUCCAUCAAGUGGUGCAAAACCAUGUUUUCCUCCAGAGCGGCCUAUUAGUGAUGGCAAUGUUUCGAAGGAGACUAACCUGAAAGCUAAAUAUUUUAGGGCAAGGGUUAGAGCUAUUUGUGAAUUCCCUCCUUUUUGUGGAAUGAAUGCUAUUUGUCCGACUGAGGAAGAGCGCCUGAGAAUUGUCUUGGGAAACAAGACUUCAGUUGCUCCAGUUGAGGGCGCUGUGCAGGGUACGCUGUCAAGAGAGACAGUGAGGGCUAAAGAGGAAUGUAGUCUAGUGAGAAAGACAGCAAGGACUGGCAUUGAAGAAUUGGACAGGGAUGUUCGAGAUGAAAAUGCCAAAAAGAGGGAUCUGAAGAAGAAAUUGCUUCCUUCUGGAAACGCUUCAUAUGAAAAUAAAGGUGCACAGGUUGUCAAGGAUAAGGGAGAUUUUUCCAUAUGUGAGCAAGAUGAAGAUUCUCCUGCAGGUCAGAGACCACAUGAUUUUCAGGUGAUCCUGCCUCCUUUUGGUCCUGAUAGCUCGAGUCAUGGUAAUGUGCGUAACAAAGUGAGGGAAACACAACGUCUAUUCCAAGCUAUUUGUAGGAAGCUCUUGCAAGGAGAAGAAGCAAAUUUGAAGAAACAAGGAUACUUGAGCAGAAGGCCUGAUCUGAACGCAGCACAGAUUAUCAGAGCUAAAGGAAAAGAAGUUAACACAGGCAAACAGAUAAUAGGAUCAGUGCCGGGAGUCGAUGUAGGUGAUGAGUUUCAAUACAGGGUGGAGCUUGCUCUUGUUGGCAUUCAUCGUCUCUAUCAGGCUGGUAUUGAUUACAUGAAAGAUGGUGGAAUGAUCAUUGCAACAAGCAUUGUUGCCUCAGGUGGUUAUGCAGAUGAUUUGGACAACCCUGAUGUUUUAAUAAACUCUGGUCAUGGAGGAAAUAUAACUGGUCGGGAUAAACAACAACCUGAAGACCAGAAACUUGAAAGAGGAAACUUGGCUCUGAAAAAUAGUAUAUCAGCAAAGAAUCCUGUUCGGGUAAUCCGUGGUUCUAAAGAGACAAAAUUAUCUACCUUGGAUGCAAGAGCCAAGAUUGUUCUGACAUAUACUUAUGAUGGCUUGUAUACAGUGGAGAGAUACAUGCGUGAUGUAGGGCCACAUGGUAAGCUGGUUUUUAAGUUCGAGUUGAAGAGAAUUCCAGGCCAACCAAAGCUUGCUUGGAAAGAAGUGAAGAAAUCAAUAAGAUCUAAAAUUCGGGAGGGUCUUUGUGUUGGUGAUAUAUCAGGAGGGAAGAAAGAGUUAUUUCCCAUUUGUGCUGUUAACACCGUAGACAAUAAGAGACCACCCAAAUUCAAUUAUAUAACUGAGAUGAAAUAUCCUGAUUGGUGCCCUACUGCUCCCAAGGGUUGUGAUUGUAUCAGUGGAUGCUUGGACUCUAAAAAAUGCUCAUGUAUGUUCAAUAAUGGAGGAAAGAUUCCAUACGACUGCAAUGGGUCUAUCGUUGACGCAAAGCCUCUUGUAUAUGAGUGUGGUCCUUCUUGCAAAUGCCCUCCUUCUUGCUACAAUAAAGUCAGUCAGCAUGGCAUGAAAAUACAGCUUGAAAUCUUCAAAACGAAGUCAAGGGGCUGGGGUGUUAGAUCCCUAACUUCUAUUCCUUCAGGAAGUUUUAUAUGCGAGUAUAUUGGGGAGCUUCUUGAAGACAAGGAAGCUGAAAAAAGACAAAAUGAUGAAUACUUGUUUGAUAUUGGACACAAUGUCAGUGAUUGUUCUCUCAUUGGUGGACUUUUGACUCUCAAGCCUGUUGUACAGUUAAGUUCUAGUGAAGUUGUGGAGGAUGAGUGUUUCACAAUCGAUGCAGCGCAGUGUGGGAAUGUGGGGAGGUUCAUCAACCAUAGUUGUUCCCCUAACCUUUAUGCUCAGAAUGUCCUCUAUGAUCACGAGGACAAGAGUAAACCCCACAUAAUGCUCUUUGCUGCAGAAAACAUUCCUCCCUUGAAGGAGCUGACUUACCACUAUAAUUACUUCGUCGAUCAGGUUCGAGAUUUGAAUGGAAAUAUUAAGAUGAAGAGCUGCUAUUGUGGUGCUGCAGAGUGCACUGGCAGGAUGUAUUGAUGCAGGGAACAAAGUUUGGGGUUUUCCAGAAUUAGAAAUUCCGUGUGUCUUAAUGGAUUUGCUUACGGUUCUUGUUUAGAUGGGCAAGCCUUGCUUUUAAUGGAAGCAGACAAAAGGAGAAUUGAAAGAAGGUUAAAAUAGUUUCGUUCGUAUCAUAUUCUGAGGUAGUGGCAGCUCAAACGUUAGUCUGUACAUCAGUUUUUUGAUUGUGGUUUCUCAAGUAGUCAUGUUGUUUUCUGAUAACACAUGCUGAAUUAGUGAUUUUGGGGAAAAAAUUCUGAAGCGCUAAACUGGUAACCUUCUAUAGUUUGGAAUGAUGGCUCUUUUUUCAUGUUUUGCUGAUUUUGCAUGAUUUGGAAUUUGUACAUGUGAAUUUUGUGGAA
Non-coding RNA from Camellia sinensis, 2770 nucleotides. NCBI's taxonomy places the organism in Eukaryota, Viridiplantae, Streptophyta, Magnoliopsida, Ericales, Theaceae. The record is from RefSeq and is a predicted model, not a curated record.